This 322-nucleotide ribosomal RNA is filed under the name Caspiobdella fadejewi. Its description in RNAcentral is "partial 12S ribosomal RNA". The record is from RNAcentral. Lineage: Eukaryota; Metazoa; Annelida; Clitellata; Hirudinida; Piscicolidae.
GUUGGACAUUAAAAACAAUCGUUCUAAAUCCAUAAAUUUUGGCGGUACUUUAAAAAAUCAGGGGAACUUGCAUAUUAAAUCGAUAAUCCACGAAAAUCUUACUUUUAAUUGAAACUCAGUUAGUGUACUGCCGUACUUAUAUAAAUUUAUAAUUAUAUAUAAUAGAAGAUAUUAAAUCUUUUAUAGCAGGUCAAAGUGCAGCUUAUAUAAAAGGUAUUUGGUGAGUUACAAUAUUAAUAAAUAUGGAUUAUAUUAAUAUUAAUAUAUGAAAAUGGACUUGAUAGUAAUUAAUUAAUAUAAUGAAUUAACUCUUAAAGUGUGU